Molecule: ribosomal RNA, 460 nt
Filed under: uncultured bacterium
Lineage: Bacteria
Description: partial 16S ribosomal RNA
Rfam family: Bacterial small subunit ribosomal RNA
Source: RNAcentral
CCUACGGGGGGCAGCAGUGAGGAAUAUUGGUCAAUGGACGAGAGUCUGAACCAGCCAAGUAGCGUGAAGGAUGACUGCCCUAUGGGUUGUAAACUUCUUUUAUAUGGGAAUAAAACGUUCCACGUGUGGGAUUUUGUAUGUACCAUAUGAAUAAGGAUCGGCUAACUCCGUGCCAGCAGCCGCGGUAAUACGGAGGAUCCGAGCGUUAUCCGGAUUUAUUGGGUUUAAAGGGAGCGUAGGUGGAUUGUUAAGUCAGUUGUGAAAGUUUGCGGCUCAACCGUAAAAUUGCAGUUGAAACUGGCAGUCUUGAGUACAGUAGAGGUGGGCGGAAUGCGUGGUGUAGCGGUGAAAUGCUGAGAUAUCACGAAGAACUCCGAUUGCGAAGGCAGUUCACUGGACUGCAACUGACACUGAGGCUCGAAAGUGUGGGUAUCAAACAGGAUUAGAUACCCGGGUAGUC